Long non-coding RNA from Colletes gigas, 1592 nucleotides. RefSeq lists it as uncharacterized. The transcript is spliced from 3 exons. Lineage: Eukaryota; Metazoa; Arthropoda; Insecta; Hymenoptera; Colletidae. The record is from RefSeq and is a predicted model, not a curated record.
GUGGGACCAGAGUGGGGAAACGUACUCCACGCGGACGUUAGUCUGUUACAACUGUGAUAUUUUACGAUUAAUGUUUUGUCCAUCAAAGAUUAGAAAUGUCGUAUCAUUUUGUAAUGCUUGGCGUUGGUGUAGCUGCUGCUUUGUAUUUCUAUUUUGUUAGACAUCGUCCUCAAGAGUAUUCUCAGCGCGGAAGUUGGAACUACAAUGAAAAAUAUCAUAGAAAUGACGAGGAAUGUCCAAUUUGUUAUGAGGUCAUGAAACCUGGUAAUUACAUUACCCUGAAUUCUUGUAAGCAUGUUUUCCAUAAAGUUUGUUUCGGCAACCUCAUCCAGCAAAGCGCCGAGGCGAAAUGUCCACUCUGCAGGCAACCGAUUUCUUGAAGGAAUGCUAUUUAUUAUUUGAGCAAUAAACAUAACGACUUAAAGAAUUUUGUAAUUUUAAAUAAUGUUUUGGAGAAUAUAAUUGAAAUACUUUAAUCAUCCUAUUAUUACAAGAAUAACAUGACAAGCAAUGGUAAAGUUUCAUGUAGUAUUAAGGACAAAUAAAGCAGUAACCUGUCAUAAAUUGUAAAUAUGUUUUUCAACACGUUUGAUAAGAUGCAGAGUAUUAUUUUGUUAAUAUAGCCAGACAAAUUAUUACCUAUGCUUGAUAUUUAUUGUGUAUAAUAACAUUCAUUGCCUUUCGGACUAUAAAUAUGUAGAUCAAAGUAGAUCAGAUACCAAAGAUUCCGCUUGGUAUACCAUGUAACGUCCAUGCCGAAGUAUCUCUUAAUAGUUAAGGAGCUUUAAGAAAACUAGGGUUAUCUAAUUGAAAUGAUGCCAAUGUCUGAAUCAUUUAUUUGUAAAUAAAGUUCAUAGGUAUCGUUAUUACAAUUAUAGUAAUAAUAACAAGUACUUGUUUCUGGUAAUUUGUCUUUUCGCCUGUCCUUUGUUCGUUGUAACAUGAAUUCAGAAUGCGUAAUAAAAUUGCAAAGAUAUUCUAUAGACACAAAGCAACCUGUCUCUUAUUUAUACAAGAAGGAAGAAGUAUUCCUGUCGCUUAACUAGCAAUCGUACAUAUGUCUGCAAAAUUGUUUUUCUUUAUUUCUUGAUCAUAAUUUAAUAACUGCAUACAGGAAUCCCUUAUCGUAUCUGAUAAAAUUUAAAUAGCUAGCACAGUUCACUGUUACAAAGGCACAAGUUUCUUUUCUCUUCCAAUAGCGGAAAUUUAUUCAAACGCUCCAGUUCUAUCGUCGAACAUACUCUGUUGUUAUUUACAAGAAACAGCAUUCUCCGACCGCUUUGAAAUGUUAGCAGUUAUAUGUGUUUAGUAAGUUGCAAUAAAUAUUUAUAUUUUUCUUCUCGUAUUGUUUUCUAAAAGUAAUCUUUAAUAAAGAAUUCGGAUUUAUCAUUUGGCCUAGGAUUUGGAGCCGAAUAAACUGUUUGUACAUACAUUUUUUGUAUCCACAGAUGCCGGAGAAUAAUUUUUUAAAUAAAACGUGUACAGAUUGGAGAACGCCGCAUCGAGCUCGACACGCGUACUGAAUUGUUGGAAUUAAAGACACCCGUGUUCGUAGCAUAUAAAUACAUAUUCUUACGUACGUUUCUCGAAUG